RNAcentral lists this ribosomal RNA (196 nucleotides) under Jesogammarus hinumensis. RNAcentral's name for it is "partial 12S rRNA". The record is from RNAcentral. Lineage: Eukaryota; Metazoa; Arthropoda; Malacostraca; Amphipoda; Anisogammaridae.
UCCGCCUACUUUAUCUCUCAAAUAUACGUUUAAUACUAUUUAUUGUAACUAACUAACUCGUACAAAUAUCUGCCCUUGAUCUAGUAUCUGAAACCCGCUCCAUUUUAAGAUUACCUAAAUAACGGUAUACAUAAGCUUAGAAGAAAAAUAGAGUCUUAUCUAUUAAGCGCAAGUUCCUCUAAUUGAAGUAAGCCGC